GCACCCGUAGCUCAAUUGGAUAGAGCAUCUGACUACGGAUCAGAAGGUUUGGAGUUCGAAUCUCCACGGGUGUACGA
RNAcentral lists this transfer RNA (77 nucleotides) under Ignavibacteria bacterium CG2_30_36_16. RNAcentral describes it as "tRNA-Arg". It matches the Rfam family "tRNA". Rfam says of the family: Transfer RNA (tRNA) molecules are approximately 80 nucleotides in length. Their secondary structure includes four short double-helical elements and three loops (D, anti-codon, and T loops). The record is from RNAcentral. Lineage: Bacteria; Pseudomonadati; Ignavibacteriota; Ignavibacteria.